AGUUCUUGAAUCUUGUAGUAUUCAAAGGAUAGUACCUUGAUUGUGUUAAUUCUCGAGUUCCUCAUGUGAAUAGAACAAGGAUUAAGCUACUGGGUACUUUUGAAUUGUGACUGCUGCAGUUGUAAACUAUUCUCUUAUUCAUUUUCCAAGUUUGUUGACAAUUCCAAAGUUUUUUUUUUCUUUUUUUUGAUUUCAUCUUGGCCUCUCCCUAUUGUUUUAAAGGAACUUGCACAAGAUACACUUAUGUUGGAAUUGGCACGAGAUCGUGCAGUGGCUGCAACUCAAGAUUCUCAGGCCAAGGCAUCCUCUUUGACUAAUGCAGCUGUGGGUGCUUCUCUUGGAGCCGGUCUUGGUAUCAUCCUAGCUGUUGUCAUGGGCGCAGCAUCUGCCCUAAGGAAACCAUGAUAUCCAAAACAGUUUUGGUCCUUUGUCGUCCAAUGGCAUAUCCGCCAGAUGUAUAAUGAGUCAGCUAAAAAGGUUCAGUUCUCUGCUAGCAUGGAGAAUUUAAUUAUGAAGUUAAAGCCACACCUAGAGUAGGUGAGUUUCAGAAAACAUCAAAUGUAAUUAUUAUUCGUGGCUAAAAUUUAUAUUUCUUUAUUGCAUGAAAAAUUAUUAAAUAUUCUCGAAAUAGCUCAGGCUAAUCAUGUGCAUUGUUUACAUUGUUACUUCUGCCUAAUUAGAAAUCACAGUUACAAAUCACAAUAAGUGAAUUAGUAUUAGUUGUCUCAAAGUACUUAACAAAGGUGAGUCCUGUAAACUUUUUCGUUAUGUGAUUGAUUUGGAACAAAAA
Molecule: non-coding RNA, 790 nt
Organism: Camellia sinensis
Lineage: Eukaryota; Viridiplantae; Streptophyta; Magnoliopsida; Ericales; Theaceae
Source: RefSeq, a predicted model, not a curated record